This 61-nucleotide transfer RNA is filed under the name bovine gut metagenome. It matches the Rfam family "tRNA", at positions 7 to 64 of the family's 71-position model. From Rfam's summary of the family: Transfer RNA (tRNA) molecules are approximately 80 nucleotides in length. Their secondary structure includes four short double-helical elements and three loops (D, anti-codon, and T loops). The record is from RNAcentral.
AAUAGCUCAGUUGGUAGAGCAUCCGGCUGUUAACCGGCAGGUCGCAGGUUCAAGUCCUGCU